This 612-nucleotide ribosomal RNA is filed under the name Ostreopsis ovata. RNAcentral's name for it is "eukaryotic LSU rRNA". It matches the Rfam family "Eukaryotic large subunit ribosomal RNA", at positions 62 to 640 of the family's 3401-position model. Lineage: Eukaryota; Dinophyceae; Peridiniales; Ostreopsidaceae. The record is from RNAcentral.
UCAUCAACUUGGAUUUUGUAGUAGUUGCGAAUGAACACAAAUUUGAUCACUUUGGCAAUCUGUACACAUUGCUGUGUAACAAUUUGUAUACGUUGGCACAGUGCUAUCAAAGCUGCAUGCAAGUGUUUUUUGAAAGGAUACAACAUGGGAUGUGAUAUUCAUGUGUGUGUGCCUGCUUUGUCCACAGCCUGUGCUGUAUGAAUCACAUUUCUUGCAACUGAAAUGCUAAUGGCAUGGUAAAGUUCAUGUGACAUGACACAAGCUUGAGAUUCAUGAUGUGCAAGUACCAUGAGGGAAAUGUGAAAAGGACUUUGGAAAGAGAAUUAAAUAAAGCCUGCAUUUGCUGACAAUGAAAGCAAGUGUGGAUGUUCAUGUAAUUGUUACUGCAUCAAUCAAUGUUCAUCUUGGUUACUGCAUGCUUUAUAUUACAGCUCAGAACAUGAAGUGUGUGUAACAGCUCUGCUUUGAUUUUUCCCACAUGGGAUCAGUUGAAACAUUGUGAGAGCACUCUUCAGUUUCCUUAUGUACCCACCAGCUUUGUCCACUCGCGUGUUGGCACACAUGUAAUGAUGAUGUGUUUAUGCAAGAUACUUCUGUGCUCAACAACAUGUU